RNAcentral lists this ribosomal RNA (528 nucleotides) under uncultured bacterium. RNAcentral describes it as "partial 16S ribosomal RNA". It matches the Rfam family "Bacterial small subunit ribosomal RNA", at positions 355 to 900 of the family's 1533-position model. The record is from RNAcentral.
UGGGGAAUAUUGGACAAUGGGGGCAACCCUGAUCCAGCAAUGCCGCGUGUGUGAAGAAGGUCUUCGGAUUGUAAAGCACUUUCGACGGGGACGAUGAUGACGGUACCCGUAGAAGAAGCCCCGGCUAACUUCGUGCCAGCAGCCGCGGUAAUACGAAGGGGGCUAGCGUUGCUCGGAAUGACUGGGCGUAAAGGGCGUGUAGGCGGUUUACACAGUCAGAUGUGAAAUCCCCGGGCUUAACCUGGGAGCUGCAUUUGAUACGUGUAGACUAGAGUGUGAGAGAGGGUUGUGGAAUUCCCAGUGUAGAGGUGAAAUUCGUAGAUAUUGGGAAGAACACCGGUGGCGAAGGCGGCAACCUGGCUCAUGACUGACGCUGAGGCGCGAAAGCGUGGGGAGCGAGCAGGAUUAGAUACCCUGGUAGUCCACGCUGUAAACGAUGUGUGCUAGAUGUUGGGUAACUUUGUUAUUCAGUGUCGCAGUUAACGCGUUAAGCACACCGCCUGGGGAGUACGGCCGCAAGGUUGAAAC